This 249-nucleotide ribosomal RNA is filed under the name uncultured bacterium. Its description in RNAcentral is "partial 16S ribosomal RNA". It matches the Rfam family "Bacterial small subunit ribosomal RNA", at positions 524 to 773 of the family's 1533-position model. The record is from RNAcentral.
UACAGAGGGGGCAAGCGUUGUUCGGAAUUACUGGGCGUAAAGGGCGCGUAGCGGCCGCCUAAGUCAGGGGUGAAAUCCUGGAGCUCAACUCCAGAACUGCCUUUGAUACUGGCGAUCUUGAGUCCGGGAGAGGUGAGUGGAACUGCGAGUGUAGAGGUGAAAUUCGUAGAUAUUCGCAAGAACACCAGUGGCGAAGGCGGCUCACUGGCCCGGUACUGACGCUGAGGUGCGAAAGCGUGGGGAGCAAAC